This 207-nucleotide ribosomal RNA is filed under the name uncultured bacterium. RNAcentral's name for it is "partial 16S ribosomal RNA". It matches the Rfam family "Bacterial small subunit ribosomal RNA", at positions 568 to 774 of the family's 1533-position model. The record is from RNAcentral.
CUCGUAGGCGGCUUGUUGCGUCGACCGUGAAAACCUGUGGCUUAACUACAGGCUUGCGGUCGAUACGGGCGGGCUGGAGUUCGGUAGGGGAGACUGGAAUUCCUGGUGUAGCGGUGAAAUGCGCAGAUAUCAGGAGGAACACCGGUGGCGAAGGCGGGUCUCUGGGCCGAUACUGACGCUGAGGAGCGAAAGCGUGGGGAGCGAACA